UUAAUGGGGGAAGACGGACCCAGAACAGCCACCAGGCCCGAGGAAACAUGCAGAGCCGGGUUAUGAAACAGACAGGCAAAUGUGGAAUCCCAGGUGUUUAUUGUAUUCACUGAACCAGAGCAGUUACUUUUUAAGAAGGCUGUCUUCCUCUCUCCAACAUCAGUCCCCUCUCCCAUCACAAUGGCUACUGACUCCCACAACAAAUCCUUGAAGUACUCUCCAAGUGCCCAGUGGAGUCCAGGAUGAGGGGGCCCUGCUGAGGUCAUGUGGUUAGAAGCACAGGAAAGCUUCCGGAAAGGCCCAGGUUCCCCAUCACAGAGGUCAUCGGUUUCACUACCGAGUGAUCCAGGGCUUCAGGCUGAGAUCAUCAAGCUGAAGGACUAAAAGUGUUUAGGUGACACAGAUGUCAACUUGUCUGAAACGAGCAGGAAUUGUCCUAAAAAGUUCAGCCUAACUUCUUUUGGUGGCUGUCACAUAGACCAGC
Molecule: long non-coding RNA, 484 nt
Organism: Cavia porcellus (domestic guinea pig)
Lineage: Eukaryota; Metazoa; Chordata; Mammalia; Rodentia; Caviidae
Exons: 3
Source: RefSeq, a predicted model, not a curated record